UACGUAGGGUGCGAGCGUUGUCCGGAAUUAUUGGGCGUAAAGAGCUUGUAGGCGGUUUGUCGCGUCUGCUGUGAAAAUCCGGGGCUCAACCCCGGACUUGCAGUGGGUACGGGCAGACUAGAGUGUGGUAGGGGAGACUGGAAUUCCUGGUGUAGCGGUGAAAUGCGCAGAUAUCAGGAGGAACACCGAUGGCGAAGGCAGGUCUCUGGGCCACUACUGGCGCUGAGAAGCGAAAGCAUGGGGAGCGAACAGG
Molecule: ribosomal RNA, 253 nt
Filed under: uncultured bacterium
Lineage: Bacteria
Description: partial 16S ribosomal RNA
Rfam family: Bacterial small subunit ribosomal RNA
Source: RNAcentral